GAGUUUGAUCUUGGCUCAGAAUCAACGCUGGCGGCGUGCCUAACACAUGCAAGUCGCACGAGAAAGUGGAGCAAUCCACGAGUACAGUGGCGCACGGGUGAGUAACACGUGACUAACCUACCCUCGAGUGGGGAAUAACCUAGAGAAAUCUGGGCUAAUACCGCAUAACACUUACGAGUCAAAGCAGCAAUGCGCUUGGGGAGGGGUCGCGGCCGAUUAGCUAGUUGGCGGGGUAAUGGCCCACCAAGGCGAUGAUCGGUAUCCGGCCUGAGAGGGCGCACGGACACACUGGAACUGAAACACGGUCCAGACUCCUACGGGAGGCAGCAGUGGGGAAUUUGCGCAAUGGGGGAAACCCUGACGCAGCAACGCCGCGUGGAGGAUGAAAUCCCUUGGGAUGUAAACUCCUUUUGAUAGGGAAGAUAAUGACGGUACCUAUAGAAGAAGCCCCGGCUAAACUUCGUGCCAGCCGCCGCCGUAAU
RNAcentral lists this ribosomal RNA (482 nucleotides) under uncultured bacterium. RNAcentral's name for it is "bacterial SSU rRNA". It matches the Rfam family "Bacterial small subunit ribosomal RNA", at positions 9 to 524 of the family's 1533-position model. The record is from RNAcentral.